GAUGAACGCUGGCGGCGUGCCUAAUACAUGCAAGUCGAGCGAACAGACGAGGAGCUUGCUCCUUCGACGUUAGCGGCGGACGGGUGAGUAACACGUAGGUAACCUACCUAUAAGACUGGGAUAACUUUGGGAAACCGGAGCUAAUACCGGAUAAUAUUUCGAACCGCAUGGUUCGAUAGUGAAAGAUGGCUUUGCUAUCACUUAUAGAUGGACCUGCGCCGUAUUAGCUAGUUGGUAAGGUAACGGCUUACCAAGGCAACGAUACGUAGCCGACCUGAGAGGGUGAUCGGCCACACUGGAACUGAGACACGGUCCAGACUCCUACGGGAGGCAGCAGUAGGGAAUCUUCCGCAAUGGGCGAAAGCCUGACGGACCAACGCCGCGUGAGUGAUGAAGGUCUUCGGAUCGUAAAACUCUGUUAUUAGGGAAGAACAAACGUGUAAGUAACUGUGCACGUCUUGACGGUACCUAAUCAGAAAGCCACGGCUAACUACGU
This 496-nucleotide ribosomal RNA is filed under the name uncultured bacterium. RNAcentral's name for it is "partial 16S ribosomal RNA". It matches the Rfam family "Bacterial small subunit ribosomal RNA", at positions 28 to 506 of the family's 1533-position model. The record is from RNAcentral.